AAAUCAUCCAUUCAGGCGUGAGUCUGGACCUGGUUUUCUACUGAACACACAAGUUCAUUAGAUCACUUGGUGUGAACAGGAACGAUGAUCAGACUCUUUGUGGCUCUUUCUGCUCUUUCUUCUCUCUUCACAGCUGUGAAAACUUCUGACAUCAAGGAGAUUGAAGUGAUAACAGUAAAGGUUGGAGAAGAUGUAACUAUGGAAUGUAACACUAACAGUGUCACAAAGAAAGAUAUUGUAGUUUGGUACAGACAGAGUUCAGGAAAAUUACCUCAGUAUUUUGCAAAACCAUACAAGAACGAAUUGGGCUACAAAUUUGCUCCAGGAUUUAAUGAUGAUCGUUUCAGUAUUAGUGUAAAUAACAAUAAAUUUGAGCUCAAUGUUAACAAAACAAGAGAAGAUGAUGAAGGAGAAUAUUUCUGUGGAGAAAUGGAAGGAACUGUACUGAAGUUCACAUCUGGAACACAUCUGCAAUUUGAAGGUGAGAGCUGUACUGCUGACAUGCGUGUGUUCUUCUGGCUCUCCAUUUCAAGAAUCGGAGUUCUCAGCGUAACAGUUAUUAUCCUUACAACAUGCUACAAGGUUUUAAAAUCAAGAUCUUAAAUAUAUUUGAUAUAAUUUUAUUUUAUCAGAUUUUUUUUAUAUCUUUGAUAUAAUUGUCUUUUAACUGUUGUCUGUGUUGCUCUAACUGUAAUGUAACAAGUGUGUUAUAUAUCUAACUGUAGCUGUAUUUAAAAAGGAAAUGAGAUCUGAGGUUGUGUUUAGACCCGCUAGGAGAAAGAACAAGUGGUGCAUUUCCUUCUUAUACCAAAAAUGUCACUCCAGUGGUGUGUGUGUGUGUGUGUGUGUUUGUGUGUGUGUGUAAGGUUUGAGGCUGAAACAGAAACUAUUUAAAUUCUGAAGCUAACUGCGAGUCGUACAAUGUGUAUGUAGCAGCAGAUAGAUUACACUGAUGGUUGUUAGUUCUCUUUCUCACUGUCACAUCCUCUGCUUAACAAAAAGUCAGCUUAUAAUUUACAGAUAUGAUUAUAGAGAAGUGUAAGAAAGACAACUGAGAUUGAAAAUAGUGUAGAAUGAAAAGCUUACAGAUAAACAGUAGAUAUAUUUAAAAGACAGACUUUACUGAACGUAUUGUUGCCAAAUGCCACCUUUCACAACUCUGGAGAGAUUUACAACCAGUAACUGAAGAAAAUAUCACAACUGUUUAUCAGUUAUAUGAAGAAAAGUAAGAGCACCACCUUGUUUGAGUGGCAUAUUGUUUAAAAAUCUACCUUUAAAUCACACAUCAUGGUUUUAUGUAAUGUCAAAGCUAAAACAAAUAUAAAACAUUUCACCGAUUUAUUUUUAUUUCGUCUUUAGUAGAUAAGGAAUUCUGUUCAGUUCAGAAUUAUUGUGUUGUAAAUACACGAGUAUAAGUGUGUUUUGUAUGAGAUUAUGCUUACGUGUGUGUGUGUGUGUGUGUGUGUGUGUCAGCCUGGGAAAACUGUUCACAUCAAACAAUUUAAAGCUUUCUACAGUAUCUACAGGCCAUACACAAUACAUUUUAA
Non-coding RNA from Tachysurus vachellii, 1547 nucleotides. The record is from the annotation of a RefSeq genome assembly. NCBI's taxonomy places the organism in Eukaryota, Metazoa, Chordata, Actinopteri, Siluriformes, Bagridae.